This 2005-nucleotide ribosomal RNA is filed under the name human gut metagenome. RNAcentral's name for it is "bacterial LSU rRNA". It matches the Rfam family "Bacterial large subunit ribosomal RNA", at positions 482 to 2471 of the family's 2925-position model. The record is from RNAcentral.
GACCGAUAGUGAACCAGUACCGUGAGGGAAAGGCGAAAAGAACCCCGGCGAGGGGAGUGAAAAAGAACCUGAAACCGUGUACGUACAAGCAGUGGGAGCACGCUUCGGCGUGUGACUGCGUACCUUUUGUAUAAUGGGUCAGCGACUUAUAUUCUGUAGCAAGGUUAACCGAAUAGGGGAGCCGAAGGGAAACCGAGUCUUAACUGGGCGUUAAGUUGCAGGGUAUAGACCCGAAACCCGGUGAUCUAGCCAUGGGCAGGUUGAAGGUUGGGUAACACUAACUGGAGGACCGAACCGACUAAUGUUGAAAAAUUAGCGGAUGACUUGUGGCUGGGGGUGAAAGGCCAAUCAAACCGGGAGAUAGCUGGUUCUCCCCGAAAGCUAUUUAGGUAGCGCCUCGUGAAUUCAUCUCCGGGGGUAGAGCACUGUUUCGGCAAGGGGGUCAUCCCGACUUACCAACCCGAUGCAAACUGCGAAUACCGGAGAAUGUUAUCACGGGAGACACACGGCGGGUGCUAACGUCCGUCGUGAAGAGGGAAACAACCCAGACCGCCAGCUAAGGUCCCAAAGUCAUGGUUAAGUGGGAAACGAUGUGGGAAGGCCCAGACAGCCAGGAUGUUGGCUUAGAAGCAGCCAUCAUUUAAAGAAAGCGUAAUAGCUCACUGGUCGAGUCGGCCUGCGCGGAAGAUGUAACGGGGCUAAACCAUGCACCGAAGCUGCGGCAGCGACACUAUGUGUUGUUGGGUAGGGGAGCGUUCUGUAAGCCUGUGAAGGUGUACUGUGAGGUAUGCUGGAGGUAUCAGAAGUGCGAAUGCUGACAUAAGUAACGAUAAAGCGGGUGAAAAGCCCGCUCGCCGGAAGACCAAGGGUUCCUGUCCAACGUUAAUCGGGGCAGGGUGAGUCGACCCCUAAGGCGAGGCCGAAAGGCGUAGUCGAUGGGAAACAGGUUAAUAUUCCUGUACUUGGUGUUACUGCGAAGGGGGGACGGAGAAGGCUAUGUUGGCCGGGCGACGGUUGUCCCGGUUUAAGCGUGUAGGCUGGUUUUCCAGGCAAAUCCGGAAAAUCAAGGCUGAGGCGUGAUGACGAGGCACUACGGUGCUGAAGCAACAAAUGCCCUGCUUCCAGGAAAAGCCUCUAAGCAUCAGGUAACAUCAAAUCGUACCCCAAACCGACACAGGUGGUCAGGUAGAGAAUACCAAGGCGCUUGAGAGAACUCGGGUGAAGGAACUAGGCAAAAUGGUGCCGUAACUUCGGGAGAAGGCACGCUGAUAUGUAGGUGAAGCGACUUGCUCGUGGAGCUGAAAUCAGUCGAAGAUACCAGCUGGCUGCAACUGUUUAUUAAAAACACAGCACUGUGCAAACACGAAAGUGGACGUAUACGGUGUGACGCCUGCCCGGUGCCGGAAGGUUAAUUGAUGGGGUUAGCGGUAACGCGAAGCUCUUGAUCGAAGCCCCGGUAAACGGCGGCCGUAACUAUAACGGUCCUAAGGUAGCGAAAUUCCUUGUCGGGUAAGUUCCGACCUGCACGAAUGGCGUAAUGAUGGCCAGGCUGUCUCCACCCGAGACUCAGUGAAAUUGAACUCGCUGUGAAGAUGCAGUGUACCCGCGGCAAGACGGAAAGACCCCGUGAACCUUUACUAUAGCUUGACACUGAACAUUGAGCCUUGAUGUGUAGGAUAGGUGGGAGGCUUUGAAGUGUGGACGCCAGUCUGCAUGGAGCCGACCUUGAAAUACCACCCUUUAAUGUUUGAUGUUCUAACGUUGGCCCGUUAUCCGGGUUGCGGACAGUGUCUGGUGGGUAGUUUGACUGGGGCGGUCUCCUCCUAAAGAGUAACGGAGGAGCACGAAGGUUGGCUAAUCCUGGUCGGACAUCAGGAGGUUAGUGCAAUGGCAUAAGCCAGCUUGACUGCGAGCGUGACGGCGCGAGCAGGUGCGAAAGCAGGUCAUAGUGAUCCGGUGGUUCUGAAUGGAAGGGCCAUCGCUCAACGGAUAAAAGGUACUCCGG